ACGCUGGCAGCGUGGAUUAGGCAUGCAAGUCGAGCGCGAAUUUUGGUUGUAGCAAUACAAUUGAGAAGAGAGCGGCGUAAGGGUGAGUAACGCGUGGGUAAUUUACCUCAAAGUUGGGGAUACCCUGGCGAAAGCUGGGUUAAUACCGAAUGUGGUUUUUCUAGGCAUCUAGAGAUAACUAAAGGUGGGGAUCUUUCGGGAUCUGCCGCUUGAGAGAAGCCCGCGUCCUAUCAGCUAGUUGGUGAGGUAAUGGCUCACCAAGGCUUACGGGUAGCUGGUCUGAGAGGAUGGUCAGCCACACUGGGACUGAGACACUGCCCAGACUCCUACGGGAGGCUGCAGUCGAGGAUCAUUCGCAAUGCGCGAAAGCGUGACGAUGCGACGCUGCGUGGGGGAUGAAGGCCUUCGGGUUGUAAACCUCUGUCAUUCGGGAGCAAUAAUACGCGGAUUAAUACCCUGUGUAUACGAUAGUACCGGAAGAGGAAGUCACGGCUAACUCUGUGCCAGCAGCCGCGGUAAUACAGAGGUGGCAAGCGUUGUUCGGAUUUACUGGGCGUAAAGGGUGCGUAGGUGGUCUUUCGUGUCGGGCGUGAAAUCUUGUCGCUCAACGGCAAAACUGCGUUCGAAACUGAGAGACUGGAGUACAGGAGAGGAGAGCGGAAUUCUUGGUGUAGCGGUGGAAUGCGUUGAUAUCAAGAAGAACACCGGUGGCGAAGGCGGCUCUCUGGAAUGUUACUGACACUGAGGCACGAGAGUUAGGGUAGCAAACAGGAUUAGAUACCCUGGUAGUCCUAACCGUAAACGGUGUACACUUGGUGUGGGGAGAUUUGACCCUUCCCGUGCCGGAGCAAACGCGAUAAGCGUACCGCCUGGGGAGUACGGCCGCAAGGCUAAAACUCAAAGAAAUUGACGGGGGCCCGCACAAGCGGAGGAGCAUGUGGCUUAAUUCGAUGCAACGCGAAGAACCUUACCAGGGCUUGACAUGUAACUGCACGUUCUAUGAAAGUAGAAUUCCUUCGAGGGUGUUACACAGGUGCUGCAUGGCUGUCGUCAGUUCGUGCCGUGAGGUGUUGGGUUAAGUCCCGCAACGAACGCAACCCCUGUGUUUAGUUGCCACUUUGGGUGAUGAAUCCAGAAGCACUCUAAACAGACUGCCCGUGUAAGCGGGAGGAAGGUGGGGAUGACGUCAAGUCAGUAUGGCCUUUAUGCCCUGGGCUGCACACGUGCUACAAUGGUCGGUACAAUGGGAUGCAAAGCCGCGGGGUGGAGCUAAUCCUCAAAGCCGACCCCAGUUCGGAUUGAAGGCUGAAAUUCGCCUUCAUGAAGUUGGAUUCGCUAGUAAUGGCACAUCAGCUACGGUGCCGUGAAUACGUUCCCGGGCCUUGUACACACCGCCCGUCACAUCAUGAAAGCUUUGUGCACUCGAAGUCGCUGUACUAACCUGCAAUUUAUUGUUGGAAGAAGGCGCCUAAGGUGUGUGGAGUGAUUGGGAUGGAGUCGUAACAAGGUA
Molecule: ribosomal RNA, 1510 nt
Filed under: metagenome
Description: bacterial SSU rRNA
Rfam family: Bacterial small subunit ribosomal RNA
Source: RNAcentral